CAAGACGGUUACAAGGGCAUAUGGCGGAUGGCUCGAGAUAAGAUGGGCGAUGAAGGGCGUGGCGUGACUGCGAUAAGCUUGGGGGAGGCGUCUAGCAACCUUUGAUCCCAAGAUUUCCGAAUGGGGAAACCCCAUAUUUAGAAAUAAAUAUGACCAAGCGCAUUAAACGGCGCUUCGGAGCGAACCCGCUGAAGUAAAACAUUUCAGUAAGCGGAGGAAAAGAAAACAAUAGUUUAUUCCCUUAGUAGCGGCGAGCGAAAAGGGAAGAGCCCAGAUCUUAUUUUUCUUUAUUAGUUUACUAAUUUAGGGAAAUGAGAAGUAGUAAGUUUAAUCCGUCCCGAGAGGGGGAGAGUUCAAGUAUUAAGGUUUGUCUAGCAGAACGGUCCUGGAAAGGCCGGCCAAAGAGGGUAAUAGCCCCGUAAGCGAAAGUCACCUUUGACUCUCUGGAUUUUACUUGAGUACCUCGAAAAAUGUGUAGUUCGGGAGAAUCUGCCGGCACGAGCCGGUAAGGCUAAAUACCAUCUAUCAUCGAUAGUGAACAAGUACCGUGAGGGACAGUUGAAAAGCAGCCCGGUGAGGGCGAUGAAAUAGUACCUGAAACCAUAUGCUUACAAAGAGUCGGAGUCCCGUGAGCGCAAGCUUUUACGGGAUGACGGCGUGCCUCUUGAAGACUGAGCCAACGAGUUAUCCAACACCUUUAGUAUAAGGGCGCCUAGCCCGGAGGCAAAGGGAUAGCAAGUGUUAAUAGCGCGAUUUUAUCC
RNAcentral lists this ribosomal RNA (761 nucleotides) under bacterium. RNAcentral describes it as "partial 23S ribosomal RNA". It matches the Rfam family "Bacterial large subunit ribosomal RNA", at positions 1 to 702 of the family's 2925-position model. The record is from RNAcentral.